AGAGAGAGAGAGAGAGAGAGAGAGAGAGAGAGAGAUAGAUAGAGGAGGGUGCUCUGACCCGAGACGCAGCACGGCCCGAGAGAGAAACCUGACCAGAACUUCCACGUCCGGCCACCCCCCGACGGUGCAAGGCCACCAAUAGCUUCGUCUCGGCGUCGCCUACUUUCCUGCAUUCUCAGAUCGUCCAUGCAUCGACGAUGAACGGAGAAGCAACGACUGGAAGCUCCGAAACUUCUCCGGGAAUCUCUGCAACUUCCGGCGACUUCGGCCACCGUUUGGGCCGUCUGUGGCGAGGGCUGACCUUGAUUGAGGAUAAAGUCUGGGAAUUUCAGGUUGGUGGUUGUCAGUUUGUGCUUCAUCACCAAACGAGCUUCGUCAAGUUUCCGAAAAACGUUUAAGAUCAAAACAAGAAACUUGGAAUUUUGGACAUUGAGGCUUGGAUUGCCAGUUCAACAUCGAGUUCUUGGAAGGCUGCUACAAGGGAGUUAAGGUUAACCUUGCAGAUUGUAGUACUGAAGGUAAAUUCGAGUUUCUAGAUGGAAAUGUUUAUGUUUGGCUUGGUACGGUGAUGUUGAUGUCUCUGUGUGAAUCUGUCAUGUUGUCUUACUCUAGGUGUUUGGAGCUUGUGAAUGAGUUGUUGAUUCUGUGUUGGUAUUGCAAUUGUGGAUUAAGUUUUGUUGUGAUUAAUGAAAUGGCUGUGAAGAGUGAGAUUGGUCAAAUGUGAUCUUGGGUGUCCCACACCUUAAUUGAGAAUGGAAUAAGGUUGGUUGGGUGUCCAUAGUAAUUCCGAUUACUAUGUGACGAAAUUGCUAAGGAUACUCGAAUUUAUUUGUUCAUGAAGUUGGGAAUUUGUUAUAACAUUGGUUUGCAUAAGCAUUUUGUAAAAAUGAUAGUGAGUAAAGAAAAGAAAUGUGUAUAUAUUGGGUGGCCUUGAUAAAAUUUGGAUGCACCUAAUAUAUAUGGUCGAUAUAGUGAUUUAAGUAAAAUGUUCGGUAAUUUGGGUCAAUUAUCGAACCUAUUACGAUUGGUCAAACAAUUGUCAAAAUGGUCGAUCCUGGUCAAAUCAGGAAAGGUUGGUCAACUCCUGGUCAAACCAGGAAAAGUUGUCGAGAUUUCAUAA
Rosa chinensis is the source of this 1120-nucleotide long non-coding RNA. RefSeq lists it as uncharacterized. The record is from RefSeq and is a predicted model, not a curated record. The transcript is spliced from 3 exons. NCBI's taxonomy places the organism in Eukaryota, Viridiplantae, Streptophyta, Magnoliopsida, Rosales, Rosaceae.